Molecule: unclassified non-coding RNA, 18 nt
Filed under: Mus musculus (house mouse)
Lineage: Eukaryota; Metazoa; Chordata; Mammalia; Rodentia; Muridae
Description: oocyte_clustered_small_RNA14084
Source: RNAcentral
CAUCCCUGGUCAGGUUCC